This is a long non-coding RNA of Prunus mume (Japanese apricot), 1039 nucleotides long. RefSeq lists it as uncharacterized. Lineage: Eukaryota; Viridiplantae; Streptophyta; Magnoliopsida; Rosales; Rosaceae. The record is from RefSeq and is a predicted model, not a curated record.
CAAGAAACUGAAAGGACGUGUUGGGAAUUCCAAAUUUUGUUUUAAGAAACCCUAAAUACCUACAUCCCUGCACGCGUUAUUCUCUAUCUCCCUCUCCCUCUCCUCGAUGCCUCUUUCUUCUUCUGUGCGCAGCACCAAGGCCGGCAGCGAUUCUCGUCGUCCGGCCACGCCAGGUCGUGGGACCAGUCGGAAAAGAACGGCCAUCGACUGACGACCUCAUCCUUUACCUUUUACGACCAGCACAGCCCCUCCCUGCGACGGAUGGAGCUCGGAAAGGCGGAGAGGUUCGCGAUUUUUCUGUAGCCGUUUCCGGCGACUCCGGUAACCAUUGUCGUCAAUGAAGCAGAUUCUAAACACACGUCCAAAGGAUCAAGAGCUCUGGGGACAUUAGCUGGUGCGUUCACUUAAGAAUCGUGGAGUUUUUGCCUCUGGGCUGUCUUCUGGAAUUGCUGAGAAGGUAAAACUAUUGUAUCAUAUUUAUCAAGUGACUCAAAAUUCAGAUUUACUAAGUAAUCAGAAAGGUGGUAAAAUAAAAAAAUUAUGUUGCAGGGAUCCAUAAUUGGCACAUUUGGUGCUUCUAGUUCUGACUAUGGAACAAACAACAAAUUGGUCAAACUCGAGGUUUUAGUAAUAGGGGAGUAUGAUACCUUGCGUUUCGUAAGGGAAGCUCUUUCUAGAGCCACGUUGGACAUGAGUUUGUUGGAAACUAGGCUAGUGUUUCAUUAUUCAUACAAAGAUACCCCUUUCAUGGUAUCUUGUGAUGCACUUGAGCGUCCUAACAUGAUCGUUAUGGAUCACAACUUUGUUGUUCAAUUAGAGAGAGAUAAAAUCAAGAUACUUGUGGACGGAUGACGUGGGAAGAAGUGGGGACCGGAGGUUGAUGUGACGGUAGUUACAAUGGUAUGGGCUGGUCAUGUGGAGGACGAAGAAUUGAACGCUUUGAGGAAACAAUGGAGACAAGGUGGCAAAAUAGCCUCUCCUUUUCUUGGGUUGAUUGAUGAUGUGUUCUUAGGAGAGUAGCACGAUGAUCUAGAAGAGA